AGUGGCGCUAUCUCAGCUCACUGCAACCUCCACCUCUCAGGCUCAAACGACCUUCCCACCUCAGCCUCCCAAGAAGCUGGGACCACAGGUGCGUGCCACCAUGCCCAGCUAACUUUUUGGUACCAAAACAACACAAUUUGACCAGAUUGCCCAGGCUGGUCUCGAACUUCUGAGCUCAGACAAUCCACCCAUCUCGGCUUCCCAAAGUGUUGGAAUUCCAGGCGUAAGCCACUGCGCCUGGCCAAUGAUGUGUGAUUUUGUUUUAACAAAAGAAAAAAGGAGGGGGACGAACCUGUCUUGAAUAUGGCAAAAUGUUGCUUUUAUUGACUCUUCAGGAGGUGAGUACAUGUGUUACGUUAUUCUCUGAACUUUUCUGUGUGCCCAAGAUAUAUCAUAAUGAAAACAGCGUGGAAAAAAACAAAGGGCAUGUGUAGUUCCAGGUUCCUGUCAGUGAGUUCUAGAUAAAAGAGACCCUGGCUUGUGAGGACCUGCUCCCUGCUAGGUCUUACAGGUCAGUUGUAGUGGAGCACAAGACCUGCUCAUAGGCCUUGUCCUGAGCCCACUGAGCUGGGUAGGUGCUGGGCCCUGUUCUGUUUUCUCACCGCAGCCCAGGAACCAACCAUGCUAGUCAUUGAACUGGGUUCUGCUUCAGCUCAUUAUAUUCUUCUGCUUUGCUCUAAUCUGGCCUCUUCUGAGGCAACAGAGCAUGGUGGAAUGGAUUUGCCUCCCAAUAGUUGGGAGCUUGGCUUGCGGGGCUGAACUUCUUGAGACUUUGGGCAGGUGGACUUCUAGCAUCCCUUUCCUGGCAGGGCCUGCUACUUGGAUCACUCCCUUGGUUGCCAGGAAACCUAGUCUUAGGAAGGACUUGUGCCUGUGUCUGUAGGCCCCAGAGAAAAACAGACUCUUCUGACUAACAGAUGCAGAGCAAAGGGCUUGCUCAGGUUAUUUAGGAAGGCAGAUUAGAACACUGGUUGCCCUAACACAGGGCCAGACCCAUGUGGACUCCACUUUAGACUGCAGGGUCCAGGGCUGGACAUGAUGGGCUUCCCAGGAAGAGCAGGAUGCAGCAGAGGCUGUGUCCAUCCAGGGAGGAGGAUGUUGCCUUUUGUUUGUACCCCAGGUCUGGUAAGAGGCUCUCAUGCAGGAUGCUUAUGGAUUGGGAACUGAUUUCAGAGAGCCCCCUAGGCCAUAGCCCCUGCCACAGCCUCCUUUGCCACUGGAGAGAGGUGACCUUCCACUCCAUUGGAAGGAUGACCCCUGAGGACAUUCGCCAGCGAGCAUCUCUCUUCCUCGGCUGCUGGGAGUGUCCCUGGGAGCCCCUUCCAGUCUGACCCCCUCACCAUCUCAGGAGUGACGCCAAGGAAGUUACACAGAUCUGCAUCUGAGACCCAGGGCCCAAUCUGGAUGGGAAAGGCUGAGUUGUCUCUGAUGCUCUCCUGACUCAGGCUCUGCAGGGAGAUGGAGUGGGUACCCUCCUCUUCCCCUUCCUCCCUGGUUUCUCCUCUUAUGCCCUGACCAGGAUUCCUCCCUGAGUCAUUCCAUCCCAUACUGCCACUCAGCUCUGAACUUGAAUGACUGGGUGAUCCCAGCGCCUGCUGCCUGUGAGUGCCUCGGCUCCCUAUGUCCCAUUAGCUGGCAGAGAGCAGGGUCCGUCUUCCUCAGUUACCCUCCAGGUCACCCAGUGUCCCUUGCAGAGGCCUGGUGGUCAGUUCCAUAUAUUGAUGUAGCUAGUUCAUCAUGCUUAAAAUUUUUUUUUUUUUUUAAAUUUAGGGACUUAGGGAAAGAACACAUGAUGAAAAGAUUCUUGGUCCAGCAGCAGUCCCUGAAAUGAAAGGACCGAGACAGAUGGAGCAAGGUCAGGCUUUGGAAGUGGUUCCUGGGUUUGAGGCCAAGCCCUGCCAAUUAUUAAUUCUCUAACCCUAGGCAAGUCACAUUGCCUCAGUGAGCCUCAGUAUCUUCAACCAAAGAUGGAAAAAAUAAAAAUAAAGCUUGCUUCACUUGAACAGAGCAGAUGCCAUACCUGCUUCCCAGCUAGUGCUGAGGCUCUGGGCAGAAGGAAGGCACCGUGAGGCCCUCCCGAGAGAGUUAAAGACUCUGGACAUGCCU
Long non-coding RNA from Sapajus apella (tufted capuchin), 2106 nucleotides. RefSeq lists it as uncharacterized. The transcript is spliced from 2 exons. The record is from RefSeq and is a predicted model, not a curated record. Lineage: Eukaryota; Metazoa; Chordata; Mammalia; Primates; Cebidae.